UGUAGUAGUUCAGUGGUGGAGUGCUUGCCUAGCAUGCAUGAGGCCCUGAGUUCAAUCCCCAGUACUAAAA
Molecule: transfer RNA, 70 nt
Filed under: Marmota monax (woodchuck)
Lineage: Eukaryota; Metazoa; Chordata; Mammalia; Rodentia; Sciuridae
Description: tRNA.Ala
Source: RNAcentral